This 88-nucleotide small nuclear RNA is filed under the name Cervus elaphus hippelaphus. Lineage: Eukaryota; Metazoa; Chordata; Mammalia; Artiodactyla; Cervidae. The record is from RNAcentral.
GUGCUCAUUUUGGCAGCUCAUUUACCAAGGGCAGAGCCAUGCAGAGAAGGGCCCACACAAGGAUGACAUGCAAGUCUGUAAAGCAUUC